CCUACGGGAGGCAGCAGUGGGGAAUAUUGCGCAAUGGGCGAAAGCCUGACGCAGCGACGCCGCGUGAGGGAUGAAGGUCUUCGGAUCGUAAACCUCUGUCAGCAGGGAAGUACGGUCACUGUGCUAAUCAGCAGUGAAUUUACGGUAUCUGCAAAGGAAGCACCGGCUAACUCCGUGCCAGCAGCCGCGGUAAUACGGAGGGUGCGAGCGUUAAUCGGAGUUACUGGGCGUAAAGCGAUCGUAGGCGGUAUGUCAAGUCAAGGGUGAAAUCCCCGCGCUCAACGUGGGAACUGCCUUUGAAACUGGCAGACUGGAGUGUGUGAGAGGAUAGUGGAAUUCGAGGUGUAGGAGUGAAAUCCGUAGAUAUCUGGAAGAACAUCAGUGGCGAAGGCGACUAUCUGGCACAUAACUGACGCUGAGGAGCGAAAGCGUGGGUAGCAAACAGGAUUAGAUACCCUAGUAGUC
RNAcentral lists this ribosomal RNA (465 nucleotides) under uncultured bacterium. RNAcentral's name for it is "partial 16S ribosomal RNA". It matches the Rfam family "Bacterial small subunit ribosomal RNA", at positions 338 to 795 of the family's 1533-position model. The record is from RNAcentral.